UUGCCCUAGUAACGGCGAGUGAAGCGGCAACAGCUCAAAUUUGAAAUCUGGCUUCGGCCCGAGUUGUAAUUUGCAGAGGAAGCUUUAGGCGCGGCACCUUCUGAGUCCCCUGGAACGGGGCGCCAUAGAGGGUGAGAGCCCCGUAUAGUUGGAUGCCUAGCCUGUGUAAAGCUCCUUCGACGAGUCGAGUAGUUUGGGAAUGCUGCUCAAAAUGGGAGGUAAAUUUCUUCUAAAGCUAAAUACCGGCCAGAGACCGAUAGCGCACAAGUAGAGUGAUCGAAAGAUGAAAAGCACUUUGAAAAGAGGGUUAAACAGCACGUGAAAUUGUUGAAAGGGAAGCGCUUGUGACCAGACUUGCGCCAGGCUGAUCAUCCGGUGUUCUCACCGGUGCACUCGGCCCGGCACAGGCCAGCAUCGGUUCUCGCGGGGGGAUAAAGGUCUCGGGAACGUAGCUCCUCCGGGAGUGUUAUAGCCCGGGGCGUAAUGCCCUCGCGGGGACCGAGGUUCGCGCAUCUGCAAGGAUGCUGGCGUAAUGGUCAUCAGCGACCCGUCUUGAAACACGGACCAAGGAGUCAAGGUUUUGCGCGAGUGUUUGGGUGUCAAACCCGCACGCGUAAUGAAAGUGAACGUAGGUGAGAGCUUCGGCGCAUCAUCGACCGAUCCUGAUGUUUUCGGAUGGAUUUGAGUAGGAGCGUUAAGCCUUGGACCCGAAAGAUGGUGAACUAUGCUUGGAUAGGGUGAAGCCAGAGGAAACUCUGGUGGAGGCUCGCAGCGGUUCUGACGUGCAAAUCGAUCGUCAAAUCUGAGCAUGGGGGCGAAAGACUAAUCG
RNAcentral lists this ribosomal RNA (829 nucleotides) under Dichotomopilus variostiolatus. Its description in RNAcentral is "partial large subunit ribosomal RNA". It matches the Rfam family "Eukaryotic large subunit ribosomal RNA", at positions 75 to 937 of the family's 3401-position model. The record is from RNAcentral. Lineage: Eukaryota; Fungi; Ascomycota; Sordariomycetes; Sordariales; Chaetomiaceae.